This 594-nucleotide long non-coding RNA is filed under the name Coffea arabica (coffee). RNAcentral describes it as "long non-coding RNA (CARA_LNC005651)". The record is from RNAcentral. Lineage: Eukaryota; Viridiplantae; Streptophyta; Magnoliopsida; Gentianales; Rubiaceae.
GUAACAAAAGACUUAGUCGCUAGCCAUUUGAGCCUUUUGACGCGAACUCCAACAUUGGCCAGAUGAAGGAGCCCGGUUACUCAGCUUCUAUCGCCACGUGACCACGUACUCAUAGCAAUUACUACCUUUUGACGCGAGAACCAACACUUUUAGGUGCAGAUCCCCGGUUACUCAGUAGUAAAGACUAGCGGAGUACAGUCAAAUUUAUUCAUAGCUAAAAAUCACAAAAACUCAAUAUAACACAAGAACCAAAAGAAAACUUGCAUCAGCUAGCCUCAUUUUCAAACAUGGAGAACUAAAGUUAAUAACCGGACCAAUUCACAUAAAAAUGCCAAUAAUCAUUCCCUAUGCCUAGGAAAGUUAACCAAAAAUUAUAAGAGUGAAACAAUCAUCGAUAUUCACCAAAGAGAUGUUUUUGGAUUCAACCACAUUAACUCGAUACAUUUUUAUUAUUAAAACUUGGCAAAAGUAGAAAUAGAGGCAAUAAUCCAACAUCAAACCUUGGCAUGCACUUACGAGCCAAUCACUAGAAAGAAAGAAAGAAAUUGAACGAGAGGUGGACAAAUAGCAAAUUAAAAAGAAAGCAAAAACAUC